Molecule: ribosomal RNA, 303 nt
Filed under: uncultured bacterium
Lineage: Bacteria
Description: bacterial SSU rRNA
Rfam family: Bacterial small subunit ribosomal RNA
Source: RNAcentral
UGGGGAAUAUUGCACAAUGGGCGAAAGCCUGAUGCAGCAACGCCGCGUGAGUGAUGAAGGCCUUCGGGUCGUAAAACUCUGUCCUCAAGGAAGAUAAUGACGGUACUUGAGGAGGAAGCCCCGGCUAACUACGUGCCAGCAGCCGCGGUAAUACGUAGGGGGCUAGCGUUAUCCGGAUUUACUGGGCGUAAAGGGUGCGUAGGCGGUCUUUCAAGUCAGGAGUGAAAGGCUACGGCUCAACCGUAGUAAGCUCUUGAAACUGGGAGACUUGAGUGCAGGAGAGGAGAGUGGGGAGCAAACAGG